AGCGUACACGGUGGAUGCCCUGGCAGUCAGAGGCGAUGAAGGACGUGCUAAUCUGCGAUAAGCGUCGGUGAGGUGAUAUGAACCGUUAUAACCGGCGAUUUCCGAAUGGGGAAACCCAGUGUGUUUCGACACACUAUCAUUAACUGAAUCCAUAGGUUAAUGAGGCGAACCGGGGGAACUGAAACAUCUAAGUACCCCGAGGAAAAGAAAUCAACCGAGAUUCCCCCAGUAGCGGCGAGCGAACGGGGAGGAGCCCAGAGCCUGAAUCAGUGUGUGUGUUAGUGGAAGCGUCUGGAAAGGCGCGCGAUACAGGGUGACAGCCCCGUACACAAAAAUGCACAUAUUGUGAGCUCGAUGAGUAGGGCGGGACACGUGGUAUCCUGUCUGAAUAUGGGGGGACCAUCCUCCAAGGCUAAAUACUCCUGACUGACCGAUAGUGAACCAGUACCGUGAGGGAAAGGCGAAAAGAACCCCGGCGAGGGGAGUGAAAAAGAACCUGAAACCGUGUACGUACAAGCAGUGGGAGCCUCUUAAUGGGGUGACUGCGUACCUUUUGUAUAAUGGGUCAGCGACUUAUAUUCUGUAGCAAGGUUAACCGAAUAGGGGAGCCGAAGGGAAACCGAGUCUUAACUGGGCGUUAAGUUGCAGGGUAUAGACCCGAAACCCGGUGAUCUAGCCAUGGGCAGGUUGAAGGUUGGGUAACACUAACUGGAGGACCGAACCGACUAAUGUUGAAAAAUUAGCGGAUGACUUGUGGCUGGGGGUGAAAGGCCAAUCAAACCGGGAGAUAGCUGGUUCUCCCCGAAAGCUAUUUAGGUAGCGCCUCGUGAAUUCAUCUCCGGGGGUAGAGCACUGUUUCGGCAAGGGGGUCAUCCCGACUUACCAACCCGAUGCAAACUGCGAAUACCGGAGAAUGUUAUCACGGGAGACACACGGCGGGUGCUAACGUCCGUCGUGAAGAGGGAAACAACCCAGACCGCCAGCUAAGGUCCCAAAGUCAUGGUUAAGUGGGAAACGAUGUGGGAAGGCCCAGACAGCCAGGAUGUUGGCUUAGAAGCAGCCAUCAUUUAAAGAAAGCGUAAUAGCUCACUGGUCGAGUCGGCCUGCGCGGAAGAUGUAACGGGGCUAAACCAUGCACCGAAGCUGCGGCAGCGACGCUUAUGCGUUGUUGGGUAGGGGAGCGUUCUGUAAGCCUGUGAAGGUGGCCUGUGAGGGUUGCUGGAGGUAUCAGAAGUGCGAAUGCUGACAUAAGUAACGAUAAAGCGGGUGAAAAGCCCGCUCGCCGGAAGACCAAGGGUUCCUGUCCAACGUUAAUCGGGGCAGGGUGAGUCGACCCCUAAGGCGAGGCCGAAAGGCGUAGUCGAUGGGAAACAGGUUAAUAUUCCUGUACUUGGUGUUACUGCGAAGGGGGGACGGAGAAGGCUAUGUUGGCCGGGCGACGGUUGUCCCGGUUUAAGCGUGUAGGCUGGUUUUCCAGGCAAAUCCGGAAAACCAAGGCUGAGGCGUGAUGACGAGGCACUACGGUGCUGAAGCGACAAAUGCCCUGCUUCCAGGAAAAGCCUCUAAGCAUCAGGUAACAUCAAAUCGUACCCCAAACCGACACAGGUGGUCAGGUAGAGAAUACCAAGGCGCUUGAGAGAACUCGGGUGAAGGAACUAGGCAAAAUGGUGCCGUAACUUCGGGAGAAGGCACGCUGAUAUGUAGGUGAAGCGACUUGCUCGUGGAGCUGAAAUCAGUCGAAGAUACCAGCUGGCUGCAACUGUUUAUUAAAAACACAGCACUGUGCAAACACGAAAGUGGACGUAUACGGUGUGACGCCUGCCCGGUGCCGGAAGGUUAAUUGAUGGGGUUAGCGGUAACGCGAAGCUCUUGAUCGAAGCCCCGGUAAACGGCGGCCGUAACUAUAACGGUCCUAAGGUAGCGAAAUUCCUUGUCGGGUAAGUUCCGACCUGCACGAAUGGCGUAAUGAUGGCCAGGCUGUCUCCACCCGAGACUCAGUGAAAUUGAACUCGCUGUGAAGAUGCAGUGUACCCGCGGCAAGACGGAAAGACCCCGUGAACCUUUACUAUAGCUUGACACUGAACAUUGAGCCUUGAUGUGUAGGAUAGGUGGGAGGCUUUGAAGUGUGGACGCCAGUCUGCAUGGAGCCGACCUUGAAAUACCACCCUUUAAUGUUUGAUGUUCUAACGUUGGCCCCUGAUCGGGGUUGCGGACAGUGUCUGGUGGGUAGUUUGACUGGGGCGGUCUCCUCCUAAAGAGUAACGGAGGAGCACGAAGGUUGGCUAAUCCUGGUCGGACAUCAGGAGGUUAGUGCAAUGGCAUAAGCCAGCUUGACUGCGAGCGUGACGGCGCGAGCAGGUGCGAAAGCAGGUCAUAGUGAUCCGGUGGUUCUGAAUGGAAGGGCCAUCGCUCAACGGAUAAAAGGUACUCCGGGGAUAACAGGCUGAUACCGCCCAAGAGUUCAUAUCGACGGCGGUGUUUGGCACCUCGAUGUCGGCUCAUCACAUCCUGGGGCUGAAGUAGGUCCCAAGGGUAUGGCUGUUCGCCAUUUAAAGUGGUACGCGAGCUGGGUUUAGAACGUCGUGAGACAGUUCGGUCCCUAUCUGCCGUGGGCGCUGGAGAACUGAGGGGGGCUGCUCCUAGUACGAGAGGACCGGAGUGGACGCAUCACUGGUGUUCGGGUUGUCAUGCCAAUGGCACUGCCCGGUAGCUAAAUGCGGAAGAGAUAAGUGCUGAAAGCAUCUAAGCACGAAACUUGCCCCGAGAUGAGUUCU
Molecule: ribosomal RNA, 2774 nt
Filed under: Escherichia coli
Lineage: Bacteria; Pseudomonadati; Pseudomonadota; Gammaproteobacteria; Enterobacterales; Enterobacteriaceae
Description: bacterial LSU rRNA
Rfam family: Bacterial large subunit ribosomal RNA
Source: RNAcentral